This 523-nucleotide unclassified non-coding RNA is filed under the name Hevea brasiliensis (rubber tree). The record is from RNAcentral. Lineage: Eukaryota; Viridiplantae; Streptophyta; Magnoliopsida; Malpighiales; Euphorbiaceae.
GGUGAUCAGCACUUCUUGAUACCUGAAGCAACAAACAUACAAUCACCAUCAUCUAGAUUUUCCACCAUAAAGCAAAAUAAUUGUUUACUCAUGUAAGUUGCUAAAUCAAUUAGUCAAUUGCUUAUUGCACAGCAGAUGGUUAAACAGAUACAAUAAUGGGCAUCUCUUGAUUGUUGCUGGACAAAUGGCAUAGGUGUUAGGGACCUGGGAAAUGUAUUUCUCAUACAGCAAAAGAAAAGGUUAUUUGAUCCUCUCACCCAUUUUUUGGAUUUUGCAAAGGGUAUGAAAUAUAAGAGAUUUUGAAGGAGGGAGUUUGUUUUACCAAUCUUACAGGCUAUGGUUAAGGAUUAGCGCCUUUUAGCUGAAUUUCACUCAUUUUCUCAUCAGGAAAGGACUAAUGCGCGUAUCUUCUCCUUUUAUGUUGUGGAGAGAGGGGCAGUGAGUGCAUGAGUCUAUGCACUUGAAUAAUUCUUAAGGCUACUGUGACAUCAUAAAUUGGCAAAAAAAGAAAAGGAAAAGACUC